Molecule: long non-coding RNA, 1070 nt
Organism: Acanthopagrus latus (yellowfin seabream)
Lineage: Eukaryota; Metazoa; Chordata; Actinopteri; Spariformes; Sparidae
Exons: 6
Source: RefSeq, a predicted model, not a curated record
UUAUGGAUGGAAUACUGUGUUUUGGACUAAACAUUUGCCUCAUGUGAAUCAACUUGACAUUUGUGAAUAAGAGAUGGCAGCUUUGGUGGAUUUUGACGCACCACAGGAACACAGAUGCUCCAUCGGUGUUCAGUCGAUGGUGAAUCAUGAGGGGGAACAUCAUCAGCUGCCUGUUGGCCUUGAUCCUGGGCUUUAAUAUCACUGCAGUAAACAGUAUGAGGGGCUCCUUCUCCAUGCCUCGUGUUCGCCUUCCAGCGUUCAAACCUCCACCUCCAGUGUACGUCCCUCGCCUUCCAGAAUUCAACUAUCGCCCUCCAGAUUUCAACUAUCGCCCUCCAGAAUUCAACUUUCGCCCUCCAGCGCCAAUACCUCGCAUUCCAGAAUUCAACCCUCGCCCUCCAGUGUCCAACCCUCGCAUUCUAGAAUUCAACCCUCGCCCUCCAGUGUCCAACCCUUGGCUUCCAGAAAUCAAACCUCGCCCUCCAAUGUCCAACCCUCGUCGUCCAGUGUCCAAAAAUCGCCCGCCAGAUAUUGACCCUGAACUUCUCGAGCUCAUCUUUGGCCUCACAGCACCCGACCCUAACCAAUCCAGCAUCCAACCCGAACCCUCCAGCAUCCAACCCUGACCCUCCAGCGUCCAACCCUAACCCUCCAGCAUCCAACCCUAACCCUCCAGCGUCCAGUUGCUUCUAAAUACCACAAACAUCAUGAUUUGAUGGAUGAAGCGUCCACCGUCAACUACAGCAUCCUCGCCGCUGCCUUAUUCGCCACUGCCUUCAUCACCGUCCUCGUGUUGAGUGUGUGGUACGGGUACAUAAAACGAGGAAAUAAAGGGAAAUUGCACGUCCAUGAUGAGAUACAGAUGGAUUAGAGUUUCAACCUGGAAAUGAAUGAUCUGCUUAGCUUUGGGCACAAAAAACACCUGGCUAAAGUGAAAAACAUCAUGUUUGGCUUCAAAAAGGCUUCAAUCGGCUGGAAAUGUCCCCAAGUCUCCUUAAAAAUAAAACAGGAUAAAGGUGAUCAUCAACUGUACCAUUGUCAUGAAAACAAAUAAAGAUCUCUCUCUUUUU